ACAACCAAUUAAUGUCCAACAAAAAGAUCAGAAGGAGCAAACACACACGCACACACUACUGAAGCUGAGGUACCGAUCACCGCCUCGCCUCCGCCUACCAAAUGGCGGGAGUCUUUUGCAUUCCACCACGUGCUCCACUAACCUCAUCACCAAAGCUAACGACUCUGCGUGGCAUCCGAUGCAACUCAGGCGCACCAGAAAACAAUACAAAGAGAGACACCCCUCAGGUUUUGAGAUUCGUCGUCAGCGUUGCCACCGAGCUUCUCAGAAUUUUUUCUUCCACCACCACCAGGUCGGAUAGAGUGAGUGAGAAACAGAGAAAUGAGGUUUCAGUUUCAUGUGUUGAUGAUGUUCUUACGGUUCUCAAAUCUGAUUAUGAAAAUGCUUAUUUUGUAACAGGGGUCUUUUCUUCUGCAAUUUAUGCUCAAGAUUGUAUCUUUGAGGAUCCAACCAUUAGAUUUCGGGGUAAGGAUUUAUAUGCUCGUAACUUGAAGUUGCUUGUUCCUUUCUUUGAAUCUCCAUCAAUUGGAUUAGAAAAGAUUGAGAAGGAUAUUAAUUCUGAAACAAAUUUUGUGCUAGCAACAUGGAAACUAAGGACCUAUCUGAAGCUGCCAUGGAGGCCUCUCAUUUGCAUUGAUGGGAGCACGAUCUAUGAAUUAGAUAGUGACUUUAAAAUUGUAAGGCAUGCCGAGAGUUGGAGCGUUUCAGCACUUGAAGCAAUUGGCCAGAUAUUCACCCCAAGUUUUGGAAGGUACAGAGGUGACUGAAACCGACAAAUCUUAGACAUCUAAAAAUGACUCGGAAUCCAUAUAUUAUUGCCAUCAGGAACUAUUGCUGAUAAGUAUUGGCAAAAGCAAAACUAACGGGAAGAACCAUACCUCUGUAAUGAUGAUAAGUCACAAAUAUAGGCAUCAAAACAAAGACAUAAAAAAAGAAAAGAAAAAGAAUCCUGUAUGGAGUAUAAUGUGGUAAUGAGAGCUCCUUAUGGUCUGGUCCAGAAAGUCCAAAGCUUUUACGUGAAAGGCUAAUGGGUGAGCCUAUUACAUGCAUGUUCUUGAGGUGAUAGUUUAUAGAGAGAAUCCAAGGUGGUGUUGGGCGAGUAGUUGCGAAUGGUGCAUGCGCGCAUGGUCGGGAUGAUUAAUUACAUAUUCUUUUAGUUAUAAGUUUUGGUAUAAAGUGAUACUGUGGACCCCAUGAACGUACUAGCUACUAGGCCUUUUGAUUUGGUGUCUUUUCAUUUAUUUUCCCCCUUGUUUUUAUGUAUUUGUCUUGAAUGUCCUUUCAACUAUCAUUUAAAGUAUAGUGUGUGAACAUCUAUUUGUAACUUC
RNA transcript from Ziziphus jujuba (common jujube), 1328 nucleotides. RefSeq lists it as uncharacterized. Lineage: Eukaryota; Viridiplantae; Streptophyta; Magnoliopsida; Rosales; Rhamnaceae. The transcript has 9 exons. The record is from RefSeq and is a predicted model, not a curated record.